This 550-nucleotide ribosomal RNA is filed under the name uncultured bacterium. RNAcentral describes it as "bacterial SSU rRNA". It matches the Rfam family "Bacterial small subunit ribosomal RNA", at positions 355 to 896 of the family's 1533-position model. The record is from RNAcentral.
UAGGGAAUCUUCGGCAAUGGACGGAAGUCUGACCGAGCAACGCCGCGUGAGUGAAGAAGGUUUUCGGAUCGUAAAGCUCUGUUGUAAGAGAAGAACGAGUGUGAGAGUGGAAAGUUCACGCUGUGACGGUAUCUUACCAGAAAGGGACGGCUAACUACGUGCCAGCAGCCGCGGUAAUACGUAGGUCCCGAGCGUUGUCCGGAUUUAUUGGGCGUAAAGCGAGCGCAGGCGGUUAGAUAAGUCUGAAGUUAAAGGCUGUGGCUUAACCAUAGUACGCUUUGGAAACUGUUUAACUUGAGUGCAAGAGGGGAGAGUGGAAUUCCAUGUGUAGCGGUGAAAUGCGUAGAUAUAUGGAGGAACACCGGUGGCGAAAGCGGCUCUCUGGCUUGUAACUGACGCUGAGGCUCGAAAGCGUGGGGAGCAAACAGGAUUAGAUACCCUGGUAGUCCACGCCGUAAACGAUGAGUGCUAGGUGUUAGACCCUUUCCGGGGUUUAGUGCCGAAGCUAACGCAUUAAGCACUCCGCCUGGGGAGUACGACCGCAAGGUUG